AGUGAACGCUGGCGGUAGGCCUAACACAUGCAAGUCGAACGGCAGCACAGUAAUAGCUUGCUCUUACGGGUGGCGAGUGGCGGAUGGGUGAGGAAUACAUCGGAAUCUACUUUUGCGUGGGGGAUAACGUAGGGAAACUUACGCUAAUACCGCAUACGACCUACGGGUGAAAGCAGGGGAUCUUCGGACCUUGCGCGAUUGAAUGAGCCGAUGUCGGAUUAGCUAGUUGGCGGGGUAAAAGCCCACCAAGGCGAAGAUGCGUAGCUGGUCUGAGAGGAGGAUGCGCCACUCUGGGACUGAGCCACGGUCCAGACUCCUACGGGAGGCACCAGUGGGGAAUAUUGGAAAAUGGGCGGAAGACUGAUCCAGCCAUACAGCGUGGGUGCAGCAGGCCUUCGGGUUGUAAAGCCCUUUUGUUGGGAAAGAAAAGUAGCAGGUUAAUACCCCGCUGUUGUGACGGUACCCAAAGAAUAAGCACCGGCUAACUUCGUG
This 492-nucleotide ribosomal RNA is filed under the name uncultured bacterium. RNAcentral describes it as "partial 16S ribosomal RNA". It matches the Rfam family "Bacterial small subunit ribosomal RNA", at positions 29 to 507 of the family's 1533-position model. The record is from RNAcentral.